UACGUAGGCAGCGAGCGUUGUUCGGAGUUACUGGGCGUAAAGGGUGUGUAGGCGGUUGGUUAAGUUUGGUGUGAAAUCUCCCGGCUCAACUGGGAGGGUGCGCCGAAUACUGAAUGACUUCGAGUGCGGGAGAGGAGAGUGGAAUUCCUGGUGUAGCGGUGAAAUGCGUAGAUAUCAGGAGGAACACCGGUGGUGUAGACGGCUCUCUGGACCGUAACUGACGCUGAGACACGAAAGCGUGGGUAGCAAACAGG
Molecule: ribosomal RNA, 254 nt
Filed under: uncultured bacterium
Lineage: Bacteria
Description: partial 16S ribosomal RNA
Rfam family: Bacterial small subunit ribosomal RNA
Source: RNAcentral